GACGAACGCUGGCGGCGUGCUUAACACAUGCAAGUCGAACGGAAAGGCCCUGCUUUUGUGGGGUGCUCGAGUGGCGAACGGGUGAGUAACACGUGAGUAACCUGCCCUUGACUUUGGGAUAACUUCAGGAAACUGGGGCUAAUAACGGAUAGGAGCUCCGGCUGCAUGGUGGGGGUUGGAAAGUUUCGGCGGUUGGGGAUGGACUCGCGGCGUAUCAGCUUGUUGGUGGGGUAGUGGCUUACCAAGGCUUUGACGGGUAGCCGGCCUGAGAGGGUGACCGGCCACAUUGGGACUGAGAUACGGCCCAGACUCCUACGGGAGGCAGCAGUGGGGAAUAUUGCACAAUGGGCGGAAGCCUGAUGCAGCAACGCCGCGUGCGGGAUGACGGCCUUCGGGUUGUAAACCGCUUUCGCCUGUGACGAAGCGUGAGUGACGGUAAUGGGUAAAGAAGCACCGGCUAACUACGUG
Molecule: ribosomal RNA, 468 nt
Filed under: uncultured bacterium
Lineage: Bacteria
Description: partial 16S ribosomal RNA
Rfam family: Bacterial small subunit ribosomal RNA
Source: RNAcentral